AAUGGGGGCAACCCUGAUCCAGCCAUGCCGCGUGUGUGAAGAAGGCCUUCGGGUUGUAAAGCACUUUCAGCGGGGAGGAAGGCAUCAUGGCUAAUAUCCAUGGUGAUUGACGUUACCCGCAGAAGAAGCACCGGCUAACUCCGUGCCAGCAGCCGCGGUAAUACGGAGGGUGCAAGCGUUUAUCGGAAUUACUGGGCGUAAAGCGCGCGUAGGCGGCUUGUUAAGUCAGAUGUGAAAUCCCCGGGCUCAACCUGGGAAUUGCAUCUGAUACUGGCGAGCUGGAGUGCGAUAGAGGGGGGUAGAAUUCCUAGUGUAGCGGUGAAAUGCGUAGAUAUUAGGAGGAAUACCGGUGGCGAAGGCGGCCCCCUGGAUCGACACUGACGCUGAGGUGCGAAAGCGUGGGUAGCAAA
Molecule: ribosomal RNA, 410 nt
Filed under: uncultured bacterium
Lineage: Bacteria
Description: bacterial SSU rRNA
Rfam family: Bacterial small subunit ribosomal RNA
Source: RNAcentral